CCAGCACAUUGACCACUCUGUUGCUGAAGUUAUUUAAACUUGUAAUUAUUACUGUUGAUUUAUAGUUGCAUUAAAAAUCAUAUUCAAAGAGUGCUUAUUGACAUCAAACUAGAGUGAAAUAUUAAGUAAUAUGCUACAAAGUUCAGAACUGGGCCUGGAACUUUUUUAACAUUUUUAUUAAUGACUUGGGUGGGGAGAAGAGUGAAGGGAAUGCUUCUCAAAUCCACACAAGACAAAAUCGGGUAGGACAGCUAAUACCUUAAAAGACAGAAGUAAAAAUCAAAGUAAUCUUGUUACAGUAUGCUAGAGAUAUAAAAUAACAUAAAAAUAUUAAAAUUAACAUAAAUACUAUAAUCCACAUUUUAUAGCUAUUUCUUACAUCUUAGUUUAAGCAAUAGUCAACAUUUUUACACACAUGCAAAUGCAUAAUUUUAUGUAUUUUAUUAGUUUUAUAGAUUGCGUUGAUAAUUUUGUAUCAUGUUUUAUUUGCAUUGAGAACACUGAAUUAGUGUAUGUAUUUUUUAUUGCAACAGGGUUUUUUUUUUGCUUAAUACUAGUGAUUGAAAUAAUGAAUGCUAAAUUUUUCACUUAGGAAAUGUAACUUCAGAUUAAUGGAGAAUACUUGAUUUGGCAAUACCACAUGUGAAAAGAAUAUUAGAAUAGUAGUUGAAUGGGUCAACAGCGUGAUCUUGCAAAAAACAACAACAAUGGAUAUGCAGUUGUAACCUGCAUCAACAGAAAUAUAAUUGUCAAACCAAUAGACAUGAUACUUUCACUUUAUUCAGCUAACCUCAAUUAUUGGGACCAAUUUUGAGCACCACGCUGUAAGGAUUCAAAGAAAUCAGAACAGGCUCAAAGAAGAGAAAGAAAAAUAGUUGGGAAUUAGAAGAUAAACUAUAAGGAUAGAGACUGGAAGAAUUGCAAAUGAUCAGCCUUGAGCAGAGAAACGUUCUUCAAAUAUUUGUUCCAAAGAAGAAGGUGCAAGGACUGGUCUCUGACUCCCAAGGGGCAGGACACAAAACAGUAGUUUUAAGGGUCAAGAAGACUGAUGUCAAAUGAAUGCUAGGGAAAUAAUAGUAAAAGCAUUUAGUGCAACUAAUUAUCCGGAGGGAUUUUGGAUUUCUAUUCACUGGGUGUAUUCAAACCACAGGCUAGUGGGUUAUCUCUCAUUGGUGUUCUGCCCAGCGUGGGGUUGGAGGAUUCCAGAAUUUCCCCUUUCAAUCGUACAAUAAUUCAGCUUUAUUGUGAUGCUUUGUCCUUAUAUUCAGAAAAUUAAUUUGAAACAGAACCCAUGAAUAUGCCAAAACAUUGCCCUUCAAGAACUUCACUGAAUCCUCCCAUGAAUCUACAUGAAUGAAAACUACCCGAGUUAAACAUACCCCUUCAAGCUGAACCUCCACAGCAGUUUGUAUGUGCAAUCUCAAGGACCCUGUACAGAUAAUCCUCGAUUUACAAUCGCAAUUGAGCCCAAAAUUUCUGUUGCUAAGUGAAACAUUUGUUAAGUGAAUGUUGCUUCUCCAUUGA
This is a non-coding RNA of Pseudonaja textilis, 1524 nucleotides long. NCBI's taxonomy places the organism in Eukaryota, Metazoa, Chordata, Lepidosauria, Squamata, Elapidae. The record is from RefSeq and is a predicted model, not a curated record.